This 212-nucleotide ribosomal RNA is filed under the name uncultured bacterium. RNAcentral's name for it is "partial 16S ribosomal RNA". It matches the Rfam family "Bacterial small subunit ribosomal RNA", at positions 1289 to 1500 of the family's 1533-position model. The record is from RNAcentral.
CAGUUCAGACUGCAGGCUGCAACUCGCCUGCACGAAGUCGGAAUUGCUAGUAAUCGUAGGUCAGCAUACUACGGUGAAUACGUUCCCGGGCCUUGUACACACCGCCCGUCAAACCAUGAGAGUUGGCAACACCCGAAGUCGGUAGUCUAACCGCAAGGAGGACGCCGCCGAAGGUGGGGUUGAUGAUUAGGGUUAAGUCGUAACAAGGUAAC